GUUCAACAUGGGAGUGUCAUUUGAGAAGGAGCAAAGAUUUCAUAAGUGGGGGGUGGGAGCAGGACUCUGGAUAGGGUAUAAGAAGUGGGAGCAAUUUAGGGCUCUUCAUCCAACUUUGGUGCAUUCAAACUCUCUUGUUUAUCACCAACAAAGGUUGCCACCAGAAGCCCUUCAGAAUGUCCAAGCCCAAGACUGAGUUCCAACAACUUGCUGAACAAUACAUAGACAUCUACCACAGGUACUCUGGGAAUUCUGACAGCCUUGACAAGCAGGCAUUUAAGAAGAUGCUGGAUGAGCAGUUUCCUGACAUUGAUGAGUCUCCCUUGAAGAAACAAAAGAGAGACCAGCUCUUCAAGGAGGCGGACAUAAACAAGGACGGCAAACUGAGUUUUACUGAAGUGGCCCACUUGAUCGCAAAAUUUAUCGCUGAAACUCAUGACAAACUCCACAAGUAAGAAGGGCGUCCCCUUGGCCACUGGGAAAAUGGCCCAGCUCAUCCUCCAGGAGAUGGUUCUCAAGGGCGUGUUGGAUGCUAACCUUCCAAACAUACACAAACCCUUUUCCGCAUUCACUAUCUUGGAAUCUAAUGCUUUG
Molecule: non-coding RNA, 594 nt
Organism: Podarcis muralis (Common wall lizard)
Lineage: Eukaryota; Metazoa; Chordata; Lepidosauria; Squamata; Lacertidae
Source: RefSeq, a predicted model, not a curated record